Long non-coding RNA from Anoplophora glabripennis (Asian longhorned beetle), 1389 nucleotides. RefSeq lists it as uncharacterized. NCBI's taxonomy places the organism in Eukaryota, Metazoa, Arthropoda, Insecta, Coleoptera, Cerambycidae. The record is from RefSeq and is a predicted model, not a curated record. The transcript has 3 exons.
GAAGAUUUAAUGAAAAGGAGUUUUCCUUCAUGGGUAAAGAUAACAUUAUUGAAAGUUUUGAAACAAGCAAAAUCUUAUAAAAUAAUUCUUCAAAAUCUAUGGGGCACUGUAGCCAUCUAGACAGAGGGAUGUUGCCAACUUUGAGGUAAAAUACCCUACAAAGUAAACACAUUUUUUCUGAGCUUGACCACUUUGUAUUUCAACAGGAUGCCUACAGAUACCAAAAUGAUGCAAAAAAAAUGAGAAAAUCCUUUGCUACUGCACCUUUACUAUCUCUCUAUUUUAGAGCCAAACUUUUCCCUUAGUCAUUUUAAAAUUUUCUUACGUUUUCCCUGGCUAUUUUGGAUCAUCUAAAUCCUCCCAAAUUUCCCAGUUUUAUAGAUUCCUGUUUAAGAAUUAUAUUGAAAAAAAACCUCAUCCUCCAAUUAUCUAUAAUCUAAUUUAUUUAGAUCGAUUUCCAGUUUAUAAAUAUUCGUCAAUAUCUUUUCUGAUGUAUGUUGAAACUUUUGCAAAUUCUUAAAAGUAUUUUGUAUAUUCUAAUUUUCAUCCAAAGGAUUUGUUUACUUUUAAUUGUCCCAGUCUAAGAAAAGUUCUUUACCUUAUUUCUCCCUCCAGUUUUGGUUCCUAGAAUAUCUUUAAAUAAUUCAAAGCAUCACGUUUUUCCUAGACCAUAGGUUAUACAGGAUGACUUAUUAGAACCUGUCGAUAUUUUAAAAGUGCCUUAUAAAAUGCUACAUGUAAAAUGUCUGAAUAAUCCUGUAAAGUAAUAUUCGACAGCAGUCAGAUGACAGAUUGAGAAAACCGUAGUCACAGUACAGUAUCGAGCUGAAGGUUUCCAAAGAAGUUUUACUACUUAAAAUAAUCAUGUUUGGGACCAAGAAAAUCCACACGCUUUCCGACCACUUCAAGCGCAACGCCGGUUAUCGAUAAGUCUUUGGACAGAGCAGUACAGUAUCGGAGUGAGACCAUAUCGUUUACCGGCAGAGCUAGCAGGCAAUAUACACUUUGAGCACAAUGCCGGUUUUCGAUAAGUCUGAGCAGAGCAGUGCAGUAUUGGAGUAAGACCAUAUAGUUUACCAACAGGGCUAAAAGGGGGCUUUGAAGGAACAUCUCCACAUUUUAGCUAUCAAGUUUGUGCCUUUCAGAACGUUGGAUGUACUUGAAGUUUGACGGGCCUUGGUGGUUACAUUUCUUGGUCCCCAUGGUGUCGACACUUUAUAUGGUUGGCUUUUUUUGUGGAGUAUUAUUGAUGAGCUUGGUAUACUCUCAACUAAUUCAUAAAUCUAGGAAUUUGAAUUCUGCAUUCUCUGCUAUGUAUAUUUUUCAUUUUUGUUAUAUUUUUUCAAGGAGCAGCUUCAGCACAAAGUCCAUUUUAGUUUUUAUCUUUAA